AACAGGGCCCACGAGACUCCCAACAGGGCCCACGAGACUCCCAACAGGGCCCACGAGACUCCCAACAGGACCCCCAACAGGGCCUACGAGACUCCCAACAGGACCCCCAACAGGGCCUACGAGACUCCCAACAGGACCCCCAACAGGCCCUACGAAACUCCCAACAGGCCCUACGAAACUCCCAACAGGCCCUACGAAACUCCCAAGAAGGCCUACGUAGCCCCUCAGCGGCAAGCAACGAACCAGGCCUACAAGGCUCCCAACAGGGCCUACGUGGCCCCUCAGAGGCAGGCUGAACCCCAGGCCUACAUCUUUCCUCAGGUUGCUCCUCUCAAGUCCCGAGUGCUCACAUAAAUGCCAAAUGGUUUCGUGUCAGUCCAAAGUGGGGACAAUAGCAGGUGCAGCUGGUGUCCUCGGAUGAAUAUUUUAUUUUUAAAUAAAUACAUUAAUUUAC
Gymnodraco acuticeps is the source of this 454-nucleotide long non-coding RNA. RefSeq lists it as uncharacterized. The record is from RefSeq and is a predicted model, not a curated record. Lineage: Eukaryota; Metazoa; Chordata; Actinopteri; Perciformes; Bathydraconidae. The transcript is spliced from 2 exons.